GUUUGAUCAUGGCUCAGAUUGAACGCUGGCGGCAGGCUUAACACAUGCAAGUCGAGCGGGGGAAGGUAGCUUGCUACUGGACCUAGCGGCGGACGGGUGAGUAAUGCUUAGGAAUCUGCCUAUUAGUGGGGGACAACAUCUCGAAAGGGAUGCUAAUACCGCAUACGUCCUACGGGAGAAAGCAGGGGAUCUUCGGACCUUGCGCUAAUAGAUGAGCCUAAGUCGGAUUAGCUAGUUGGUGGGGUAAAGGCCUACCAAGGCGACGAUCUGUAGCGGGUCUGAGAGGAUGAUCCGCCACACUGGGACUGAGACACGGCCCAGACUCCUACGGGAGGCAGCAGUGGGGAAUAUUGGACAAUGGGGGGAACCCUGAUCCAGCCAUGCCGCGUGUGUGAAGAAGGCCUUAUGGUUGUAAAGCACUUUAAGCGAGGAGG
This 434-nucleotide ribosomal RNA is filed under the name Acinetobacter baumannii. RNAcentral's name for it is "bacterial SSU rRNA". It matches the Rfam family "Bacterial small subunit ribosomal RNA", at positions 11 to 447 of the family's 1533-position model. Lineage: Bacteria; Pseudomonadati; Pseudomonadota; Gammaproteobacteria; Moraxellales; Moraxellaceae. The record is from RNAcentral.